ACGCCUACGGGGCGCAGCAGUGAGGAAUAUUGGUCAAUGGUCGGGAGACUGAACCAGCCAAGCCGCGUGAGGGAUGAAGGUACAGAGUAUCGUAAACCUCUUUUGUCAGGGAACAAAGGCGGGGACGCGUCCCCGGAUGAGUGUACCUGAUGAAAAAGCAUCGGCUAACUCCGUGCCAGCAGCCGCGGUAAUACGGAGGAUGCGAGCGUUAUCCGGAUUUAUUGGGUUUAAAGGGUGCGCAGGCGGUCUGUUAAGUCAGCGGUCAAAGCCCGGGGCCCCACCCCGGUCCGCCGUUGCAACUGGCG
RNAcentral lists this ribosomal RNA (305 nucleotides) under uncultured bacterium. RNAcentral describes it as "bacterial SSU rRNA". It matches the Rfam family "Bacterial small subunit ribosomal RNA", at positions 335 to 638 of the family's 1533-position model. The record is from RNAcentral.